RNAcentral lists this transfer RNA (565 nucleotides) under Bartonella henselae. RNAcentral describes it as "partial 16S-23S ribosomal RNA intergenic spacer". The stretch from base 113 to 186 matches the Rfam family "tRNA". Lineage: Bacteria; Pseudomonadati; Pseudomonadota; Alphaproteobacteria; Hyphomicrobiales; Bartonellaceae. The record is from RNAcentral.
CUGGCGAUCUAGACAAAACAAGUCCACCGUGGGCUUUGAAAAACGCUUUCCUUGAUAAAAUUUAAGCGUUUUAUAAGAGGAUGCCGGGGAAGGUUUUCCGGUUUAUCCCGGAGGGCUUGUAGCUCAGUUGGUUAGAGCGCGCGCUUGAUAAGCGUGAGGUCGGAGGUUCAAGUCCUCCCAGGCCCACCAGUUUAUCCAUUACUUUCAUAAGUGCUUUUAAAAAAUAAGUACUUCUAAAAAGAUUGCUUCUAAAAAGCUUAUCAAAAUUGGCAGGCUUAUUGCUUUUGUGUGAGUAAUCCAAAGUUAAAGCAAAUUAAUGGCAAAAAAACAGUUCAAAUGCUAAAUACUAAGGAGUCAAAAUUCCUUGCAAAGUGAUUUUUACAGCGUCCAUUUGGUUGAUAUAAAUUCCAAAUGCUCAUAGACGUCAAUGCCUAUAUGAAACUAUCGGUUCAAUCAUAUCGCUUUGAGUUAUAUAGAUUUUGUAAUCCCUCUUUUGAUCGUUUUAAACGCUUUAUUCUGAUUUAGGGGCCGUAGCUCAGCUGGGAGAGCACCUGCUUUGCAAGCA